UCGGGUAUGGUGUAGCGGUAACAUCUGCGACUCUCAAAUUCGAGUGCUCGCAAGCCCGGGGUUCGACUCCCCGUAUCCGAG
Molecule: transfer RNA, 81 nt
Filed under: Thermochaetoides thermophila DSM 1495
Lineage: Eukaryota; Fungi; Ascomycota; Sordariomycetes; Sordariales; Chaetomiaceae
Description: Chaetomium thermophilum var. thermophilum DSM 1495 tRNA
Rfam family: tRNA
About the family: Transfer RNA (tRNA) molecules are approximately 80 nucleotides in length.
Source: Rfam by way of RNAcentral